Molecule: ribosomal RNA, 449 nt
Filed under: uncultured bacterium
Lineage: Bacteria
Description: bacterial SSU rRNA
Rfam family: Bacterial small subunit ribosomal RNA
Source: RNAcentral
UGAGGAAUAUUGCGCAAUGGGCGAAAGCCUGACGCAGCGACGCCGCGUGGAGGAUGAAGGUCUUAGGAUUGUAAACUUCUGUUAAGCGGGAAGAAAAGUAAAGUCUUAAUACGAUUUUAUUAUGACGGUACCGCUAGAGAAAGCACCGGCUAACUUCGUGCCAGCAGCCGCGGUAAUACGAAGGGUGCGAGCGUUAUUCGGAAUUAUUGGGCGUAAAGGGUGCGUAGGCGGUACGUUAAGUCAACUGUUAAAGCCCCCAGCCUAACUGGGGAUCGGCGGUAGAUACUGGCGUGCUAGAGGGUGGAAGAGAGAAGUGGAAUUCUUGGAGUAGCGGUAAAAUGCGUAGAUCUCAAGAGGAACACCGAUGGCGAAGGCAGCUUCUUGGUCCACAUCUGACGCUGAUGCACGAAAGCGUGGGGAGCAAACAGGAUUAGAUACCCCGGUAGUCC